Centrocercus urophasianus (Greater sage-grouse) is the source of this 2698-nucleotide long non-coding RNA. RefSeq lists it as uncharacterized. The transcript is spliced from 4 exons. NCBI's taxonomy places the organism in Eukaryota, Metazoa, Chordata, Aves, Galliformes, Phasianidae. The record is from RefSeq and is a predicted model, not a curated record.
AGGCCCCGUUGGAGCCGCGCACCUCCACCACCAGCUCCUCCAUGUUGUGCGCGGCGGCGCGGUGCGGGAGGCCCAGGCCCAGCGCCUCGCCCUCUGCUUUUCUCUUUCUCUCUCUCUCCCGGAGUCGGAGGAAGAGGAGGCCAAGGGUUCUUGCAAGAAAUUGGAGCAGCCUGCAUGCAGUUCACUACAGCUUGGUGAUGGUCUCUGUGAAGAAAUGUGGCUGUGGCAAAGCUUUUGCAGGAAAGAUAUAGGUGCUGCGCCCUUCAAAAAACUCCAAUAAUUUAUUUCUGAACCAAAUAAAAUGAGAUUUUCAGCAAAACCAUCAUGAUAUUAAAUGGAAGUCUGCUAAAAGAGCAUCCCUUCUAAUUUAACAACAGCAACAAAGAGUGAGAAUUCUAGGAGCCACUUGUCAUACUGCCAGCAUGGACAGUGGGAUCAAGUGCAUCCUCAGCAUGUUUGCAGAUGACUCCAAGCUGAGUGGUGCAGUUGACACAGACUAGAGGGAAGGGGCACCAUCCAGAGGGACCUGGACAGUCUUGAGAUGUGGACCCAAGCCGACCUUAUGAAGUUCAAGGCCAAAUGCAAGGUCCUGUACCUAGGUUGGGCAAUCCCAAACACAGAUGCAGGUUGGACAGAGAAUGGCUUGAGAGCAGGCCUGAGUGGAAGGAUUUAGGGGUAUCGGUUGAUGAAAAGUUCAACAUGAGCUGGCAAUGUGCACUUGCAGCCCAGAAGGCCAACCAUAUCCUGGGUUGCAUCAAGAGAAGCAUGACCAGCAGGCCGAGGGAGGUGAUUCUACCCUUCUACUCUGCUCUUGGAAGACUGCACCUGGGGCUUCCAACACAAAAAUGACAUGGAACUGUUGGAGCAGGUCCAGAGGAGGGCCAUGAAGUUGAUCAGAAGGCUGCAGCAUCAUUUUUCCUUUUGUACUUACAACAAUUUUCAGAAGAGAUGGGGAAAAUGAAGUGUAAAUUUAUUUUAAGUGCUCUCUAAAUCUUUUGGAACAGUGACACACCUCAAUCUGGGAGUUGGUGGAAGUAAUAUUUAAGCAUGGAAAAUAUUUCAAUGACUAACAGACGUGGAUACGACAUGUAUAUAUGUCAGGAAAUGUAGGAAAAUACUCAAACCACAAUUUAGUGGGUUUUUUUGUUUGUUUGUUUGUUUGGUUUUCCAAUUUCUUUUUGGAAUCUGAAUCUAUAUAAAUAGAAGGAAAAUAAUAUGGUAUUCUUCAAUUGCUGUUGUUAGUGACGUAUAUGUUAAUAAAAAAUAAGUGCCCUAAAAAUUUUACUUUACUUAAUCUAUGUCAUAUUAAUCAUAAUUAACAUUCUAUGGAAUCUUAAUAAAUACAACAAUGUGUCUAUCAAAACAGGAAGCUUUUUUCCUGAUCUUAGUGAGAGUCUUAGUAAGAAAAUAAUAGGUACUCUUACUAAACUCUCUAUUUUAGAGAGAGUUAGUUAGUUAGUUAGUUACUACACAAGUAAUCAGUAUCAGAUGGUUUUCUGGGAAAUUUGUAUUGUUACAGUCUCUUGAUAUCUCUUAGAACUACUUUCUUGACCAGCCAGUCUUGUACAAAGAUAAAAAGAAAGGUGUUGUCAGCUUGCAGUUUUUUGGUCAGUACCUUAACAGAACAGCUCAUGUUUGAUCCUUUUUUUUUUUUUUCCCCCCUCCCCAUUAUCACACCACUGUUUUAGAUGAACCGUAGUGCAAAAACACUGCUUUUUCUAUCAUGGUGUGUAAGGCUGUCAUUAUCAAGUGAUUAUUCUAUUCAUUUUUCUUUUUCCCUAAAAUAAGGCAUGAGCCUCCUAAUCUUUCAUUCACAUGAAACCAAACAGUUACAAUUUUUUCAGAAGCAGUGCUGAAGAUAUUUUGUCCCCUUUAAUAGGCUGUGGGUGGUUGAUGCUUGGAGGGUUUUUUUAAAGUCAGAUUAAUUGGUCAUUUUCUAUUGGGAGCUCUUAAAGCAGAGGUUAAACAUAGGCAGAUUUUGUCCCUGUUAGGACUAAGAGAGAUAAAAGAGAAUUUUUCUUUUCAGUAGAGUUUGGCCCCUGAACCAGAGGCUAUAGUAAUAACAAUAAGUGGGACAUUUCUUGAUCAUUAUCUGUAGGAAAUAUAAUAAAACAGCUACAGAGGAAAUGUGUUUUGAAUUACCUUGUUGAAAAUAAUAUUCAGUAAAUGUUUGACAUUAGAAACAAUAACAUCUUGUUUCCCGUAAGUGCUUUGCCUCAGUCUUCACUGAUGGUCAGGCUCCUCAUGCCUGCCAGGAUCCUGAACCUCUAGGUGUGAAUGAGAUGAAUGGAUUCUGUCCCACUGUAACAGUGGAACAAGUCUGAGACCUCCUCAUGAAACUGAAUGUCUUUAAGUCCAGGGGGAUGGAUGACAUCCAUUCCAGGGUUCUGAGAGAGAUGGCUGGUGUGGUUGCCGAGCAGAUCUCUGUAUUUGAAAAAUCAUGGCUGUCUGGUGACAUCUCCAGUGACUGGAGAAAGGAAACACGACUCCCAUUUUUAAGAAAGGGAGAAAGGAAGACCUGGGGAACUAGAGGCCAUUGAGCCUCACCUCUGUGCCUAGGAAGAUCAUGGAGCAGAUCCUCCCAGAAGCUAUGUUAAGGCCAAUACGACACAAAGAGGUGAUUAGAGACAGCCAUCAUGGCUUCACCAAGGGCAGAUCUUGCCUGACUAACCUGGUGGCCUUCUAUGGUGGAGUGAUG